GGUAUUGUAUGCAAGUGGUUAAAGCAGGCAGUCUGUAAAACUGUUCCUUAUAGGUUCGUAGGUUCAAAUCCUACCAAUACCA
RNAcentral lists this transfer RNA (82 nucleotides) under Bacteriophage sp. RNAcentral's name for it is "tRNA-Tyr". It matches the Rfam family "tRNA". Rfam says of the family: Transfer RNA (tRNA) molecules are approximately 80 nucleotides in length. Their secondary structure includes four short double-helical elements and three loops (D, anti-codon, and T loops). The record is from RNAcentral.